GAAUGAAUGAAAAGUACUUACAGUCAACUUCCAGUCUGGUUCCUCCACCAAAAGUCCACCACAGUGAUACAAACUGGUUGAAGCGUCGUACAAAAACCUCUGACUGUACAGAGACACGCUCUCUGACUCUGAAACAAACAAACUCAAAUGAUAACACAAAAUGAACUAGAAAUAAUACAUUUUAUUGUUAAAAUUUGCUUUUUUUCAAUUAUAGAGUUGUAUUUAAUCUAUAAAUAAUCUUUUAAAUUAUACUAAUAAAACACAAAGUUGUAAAUAUUGUCAUAUUAAGACAAAUGAAUGAUUCAAAGGUGCAUCAAAGACAUUUGCAAGAAUACAUCAUUUUGAAUAAUUGCAAAAAAUUGUAUAAUUAAAUAAGUUAUAAAACUACUAAAAUUAAAAUGCCAAAGAAUUUAGAAAAAAAACAGAAAACACUGAUUAACCUAAUGUAACUUUAGAGUUAUUCUUCUUUCUUUCACAUAUAUUCAUAUAUUUAGAUUUUCUGUAAAUAAAUACUUUGUCGGGAAUUUCACAGAAAAUACUGAUUUACAGAAAGCCUCUUCAGAUUGAUUCUGCAUUAUUCCAUUUAUAUUCACAUCUUUAGAUUUUCAAUAAAGAAGUGUUUUUGGUAGAGUUUCACUGUCAUGUUUCUCUCCAUAUUUUGAUAAAUUCAGUGAUUAGUUACUGUAGUUUUUAUUAGUUUUUUUUACUAUAUGUUGCAGGUUGCAUUCUGGGAAAUGUUAAAUGCACUUAGUUUUGCUUACUUGCUGUACAGACAUCUCUAAAAAAUUCUUAAAAAGAAGUUUGUGUGUUUGUAUACAUAGAAUAAUGUAUUUGUGUAGUAACCAUGGUGACAUGUGUAGAACAGCAGCUCCUGACUGGUUCAGUGUGUUUGCAUAUGUGUGCUGCCUCUCUGCUUCCAGCAGUUAAAGCUCAGUGUUGAUCAGUGGCUGUCCAGACCUUUCAGAGACUCGGACUCGCCCGCAGCACAAUGAUGAUGUCACUGACUCUGCUGCUCUUCACCCUGGAGCUCCUCGUUCAGGCUUCAUCAGAAGAACUGCUGACUCAGACUCCUGGAGCUCAGUCUGUAGUUCAAGGACAGACUGUCUCCAUCACAUGUAAAUCCAGUAGAAGUGUUAGCUACUACUUCAACUGGUAUCUUCAGAAACAAGGAGAAGUCCCUAAACUUCUAAUUUAUGGUGUAAGCUCUCGUCCAUCUGGAGUUUCUGAUCGUUUCAGUGGAUCAAGGUCUGGAUUAGAUUACACUAUGACCAUCAGUGGAGUUCAGCCUGAAGAUUCAGGAGUUUAUUACUGUCAGACUGGAUACAUCAUCAACAGUCAGUCUGUGUUCACACAGUGAAAAACCGUCGUACAAAA
Oryzias melastigma (Indian medaka) is the source of this 1374-nucleotide non-coding RNA. Lineage: Eukaryota; Metazoa; Chordata; Actinopteri; Beloniformes; Adrianichthyidae. The record is from the annotation of a RefSeq genome assembly.